GCGGGCUUAGCUCAGUUGGUAGAGCGCAACCUUGCCAAGGUUGAGGUCGAGAGUUCGAGACUCUUAGCCCGCUCCA
This 76-nucleotide transfer RNA is filed under the name Allobrachymonas sp. RNAcentral describes it as "tRNA-Gly". It matches the Rfam family "tRNA". From Rfam's summary of the family: Transfer RNA (tRNA) molecules are approximately 80 nucleotides in length. Their secondary structure includes four short double-helical elements and three loops (D, anti-codon, and T loops). The record is from RNAcentral. Lineage: Bacteria; Pseudomonadati; Pseudomonadota; Betaproteobacteria; Burkholderiales; Comamonadaceae.